UUUAACUGAAGAGUUUGAUCAUGGCUCAGAUUGAACGCUGGCGGCAGGCUUAACACAUGCAAGUCGAGCGGGGGAAGGUAGCUUGCUACUGGACCUAGCGGCGGACGGGUGAGUAAUGCUUAGGAAUCUGCCUAUUAGUGGGGGACAACAUCUCGAAAGGGAUGCUAAUACCGCAUACGUCCUACGGGAGAAAGCAGGGGAUCUUCGGACCUUGCGCUAAUAGAUGAGCCUAAGUCGGAUUAGCUAGUUGGUGGGGUAAAGGCCUACCAAGGCGACGAUCUGUAGCGGGUCUGAGAGGAUGAUCCGCCACACUGGGACUGAGACACGGCCCAGACUCCUACGGGAGGCAGCAGUGGGGAAUAUUGGACAAUGGGGGGAACCCUGAUCCAGCCAUGCCGCGUGUGUGAAGAAGGCCUUAUGGUUGUAAAGCACUUUAAGCGAGGAGGAG
This 448-nucleotide ribosomal RNA is filed under the name Acinetobacter baumannii. RNAcentral describes it as "bacterial SSU rRNA". It matches the Rfam family "Bacterial small subunit ribosomal RNA", at positions 1 to 449 of the family's 1533-position model. Lineage: Bacteria; Pseudomonadati; Pseudomonadota; Gammaproteobacteria; Moraxellales; Moraxellaceae. The record is from RNAcentral.